Molecule: long non-coding RNA, 6379 nt
Organism: Drosophila obscura
Lineage: Eukaryota; Metazoa; Arthropoda; Insecta; Diptera; Drosophilidae
Exons: 2
Source: RefSeq, a predicted model, not a curated record
UUCAUUUUGUGUGCACUAUACCAACAAAAUCACAUCCGCAAUUAGCUUUAAAAGGAUGCAAUUGCUCUCACAAUUGCUAGUUUUUAAGACACAGUGCCUAGCCAAUUCUUGCUGUACACAAUUAUAUUUUUGUUAAGUCCAACAGAGCAUAUUCUGUCAAACUUUUGCGGGCUUUUAAAUGUGAAAGCUGACAUAGCCGUUAAGAUAUGUUACGCUGAUGAGCUGGGUAAUUCACUUUAUUUUAUUCUUAACUGUGCAAGGAAAACAUAUGUACUAUAUGUGUCUGUGUUCAGUUUUCUAUUUAUUUGUGACAUUGUUUUUUUAAUUGUAUACCCGGCACUCGGUAUUCUUUUCGUGCAUGUGUACAGAACCAAAAGCACAUAUAAUUAUCGGUGACUAUACUCGUGGGAGUUAGAGUAACUGAUUAUCACAUACUCACAAAAUAAAUUUUAUUAUUGUCUGACUCACCAACAGUUUGGGCAGCUCCAAAUUGUACCAAAAACAAGAAAAACGUGGCUAACAAAGUUAGGCUCAAUAUUUUAUCUUUUGAUCGAAUGACAAACGUCUCAGAAAUAGAAAAAAGUCCAUCCUUACGUUCCUUCCAGUACAUAUUAUUGUUGCAGUAGGUUUGUGAUUUGGUGAAGUUAUCCUCGAAAUGUUUUAUCCUCCGUGUUAUACGUGGUUGCAGCAUUUUAAACUCCCUUAAAACAGAGCAGACAAGGAAAUAUCCACAGAUAAGCUUAACACAUACAGAUAUGCAUGUUUGCAACGGCACAAUGUUUACAGUUUUGUCCUUAUUUCGUCGUUUUAAACUCCUAUAUCAGCAAUAUAUUAUAUAAGCACAUACACAUACAAUCAUAUGUACGUACAUAUAUUUUUAAACAUUAUUUAACGAUAUUAAUUGAUCAUAAGUAUUGUGUUUAAAGACACACUGCAACAAUUUAUUGAGCGCUAGUUUCGUGUACAUAAAAAUGUGUACAUAUAUACUUGCAAUAUUUGUGUAGGUUAGUACACCGCUUACUCUUUUAAGGAACACGCACGACCAUUCAUGCAAACGAAAGCCAGGGAACUGAGUUGGCCAGCAUAACCACUUCGCUGGUUGUUCAAAGCCAACCCCGAAGAGCUUGAGAGAGUGGUACGAUCGCAUUUGCAAAGGUUGUUUGGCUAGUUUAGAUGGGCCAAGCGGUACAAAAUUAAUUCCCACAGCUUUUCAUAUGAAAGAGCUUGCUGCCCGUUAACUUGAACUUACUGGCAGUCUUACCCACAGUAUCAUCGCUGAUAGAAAACUGAACGGGUAACUUACUAAACUAAACUCAAUAGUCUUUAAUUCAUUAUCAAUCGAAGAUGCAAGUUUUGUAGCUCUGGAACAGUGUGUCUCUUUUGUACCUCUUGUACCAAGUUCAGGCAGGCUCUGGUUUUCACAUUCACUUUGCAUUAUACCUUUCAGCAAAAAGUCAUACUUUUCAUUUCAAGGCGCUCUGGAAUCCACAAAAGUCGAUUUAGUUACUCCUUGUACUGUUAAGCGUAAAAGUUACUGCUUUUAUACCCAUGCCAGUGCCAGCUGAUACAAAAAGGCCUCUGUUAUGUUUUACAAAGAUUUAUCAAUAACCAAAUCGGACUGCUUCACUAUUUGUUGUUGCGCUGACCAAUUUUAUCCGAUCCAAAUUUGAGGUUGAGUUAAAUAAAAAUUAUUUAUUGAAAGGGCACAAGCUCAAAUACGGUUUCAAAUUCAUGUCAACGCAUCAAUUAGUCAUCUAUUUUUGUCUUUUGAAAUUAAGAUUCGUUUUGUUGUAUAAUAAGACGUUUGCUUUUUUUGGAAGGCGAGGAAUUUUUUGCACAACACAACUUUUUGAAAACGGAAAAAUUUUGCGAUUUACGAAUGCGGGAGCACCUAACUUUCCGUUUUCAAAAGUAAAUCGGACGUUUUUUGUGAAUGUGAAAACCGGAGCCUGUCUGAUAGUAUUAUCCUGUAUUGGUAGUAUACUAACAAUAGAGCUGACUUGUAGCUUUACCGUUUCAUAUUUCGAUUUGAAUGCAGUGCUUUUGCCCACUCAUUACAAGCAACAUAGACAAAGAUACAUACAAAAUUCGCCUAGACCGUAGCUCUUGUCUUCUCCGCGAUGUUUUUUUAACACGGAGAAAUAUGGCUAGAUGGACUGGGAAACAGAAUACGAGGGCCAAAUUGUGUAUACAAAUAAACUAUGACAUAAAUUCAUAACGAUUUUAUUCAAUCAAUCGAAGCGUAUCUAAUCCAUGAAAUCAUCUAUAUAUAAUACUUAUUAUAAAACAAAUAGAAUUAUCUGGUAAUGUGCUUUUUCCGGCCGAAAUCAGAGGUAGUAUAUAUUACAAACUAUAUAUAUAUGCAUAUAUAGCAUCGCCGUACAUUUUCACAACUUCGAAUAUAAGAACAAACUCUGCAUGUAUGAAAAAGAUAUGACAAAAAAGUAGCUUAUAAUAAAUUCCCUACUACGAACACAACUAUAAUUAGUCACCUAUUAAUAUAUGUAUUCCUAUUUUAAUUUUUGUAUUCAAACACAAUUAUUUACAAAGAAGGAUGAUUAACUAUUUGGAUUUUGUACAAUUUCAUAUGACUUAAACGUUACUGUUCUACAGAAGGGGUAGAUGGAGGUUGUUUUAUAUUAUGAGCAUUAUUAUCUGAUGAAUCAAAAAAUCCUAGGAAGGUGUUGUGUUGGGUAUCAAGGCUUUGCUCAGCGCACAAGCUAACAUAUGUUGGCCCUCCUUCCCAAUCAGUGGACUCGUGGGGCUCGUAUACUUCAGUUAUAGGAGGCCAGUUAUCAUUUGUGGUAAUAUUAUACUCCAGGCGCAUGUGUUGUUGCUUCGAUGUAGUCCAGCUUUGGUCACGCCGCACUUGAUAUUUUUUGAAUACUAGAUAUUCUACAAGAAAAGACUCCACAAAUACAUGAAUAACAAAGGCUGCAGCUCCGUAAAUAAGCAUUACAUAUCGAAAACUCAUCACUGGAGGCACAACCAGUUGAAAAAAAUUAGCUACCCACUCGCUUGGGUACACAACCAAAUAGACUAUGAUGACACAGUUUACAAUAAAUGUUAAGCAUAGUGGCCAAUUGGACCACAAGGGUUUCCGAUAAGGAGCACCCUUCGAAUAUACAAAAGCGAGUAUAAUAUACUGAAAACUGGAUAUUGAAAACAUGGUGUAGUUCUCAUAGCAACCUAGGUGAUUCUCAUCUGAUGAUUUAAACGGCUGAAACCAAGGCUGUUGCUGCAGCUGAAACCAACCUAGAUCACCGUGGUAUUAAAAAAAAGGUACAUUUUAUUAUUAUUUGAAAACUAGAUUAAAAGUUUGUAUUACUCACCAACUACCUGGAACACCGUCACCACGACUAGAUGCAAUAAGAGCGACGCCAAUGGCGUGGGAGAUAUCAGCGAACUAAGCGGUACCUGCUUUACAAGGUGUCCAUCAAAAGCUUCAGUUUUACCAAAGAAAAAUGCAAAUAUUGAUAUCAAGCCUAGGUCAACAUAAAGAUACUGUUUGUCUGUUAGAUUCGAGUCGAUCGAGUACAGUAUCAUCACAGAUAUGAAUUGUACCAGCGAAUAUGCAGCCAUAUACUUAAAAAUGCCAAACGAUGUGACUAAAGCAGCUCGACCUUCCUUUAUAACAUUUGGAACAGCCGCAAUCGUGGGAUUGCGCGAAGUGAACGGUGAGGCAAUUGACGACUCGGUCUCACUUAACGAAAUACCAGCAUGUGCCACCUUCAGUGCACCGCAAUCAUUGGCACCAUCACCGCACAUGGCCACGCAGUAAUCCAAUUUUUGAAGUUCCAUAACCAGUGCUUGCUUUUGCUCGGGCGACAUACGGGCGUAAAUAGCUCCACGCGUUAAAAGAAUUCCUAGUUCCUCAGGAAAUUGUUCCUUUAUAAUUUGCCACGUUUUACCAUCCAUUGCAAAUAUAUAAUGGCGCUUCCAGUUAUCGUCUUGAGUGAAUUCCGUUCCGAGCUCAACGUCGACUUCAAUCGCCUCGUUGUGGGUCCAUGUGUCCACGGUUUUUACACUAGCCAAGCUAUCACUGUUGGGAAAAAUGCUUUCGGCAUAACUAGUGUUCGACCCAUUAGCUAACGAAUUUGUAGACAUCAACCGGUAAAGCGUUGGUGGACAAUUGCCACUUAAGUUACUAUCUUGUGUUACAGUGUUUCCAUUGCAAUUAGAUUUCCAUUGAGAUGACGUAGUGUUCCUGCUCCCCAAGUCCAGUGUGUACUGAAGUUUGUAUUGCCUAUGUCGAUAUUGUUCGGACGCGCAUUUUGUAUCACCAGGACUAGUUUGACUACUGUGAGCAUGUGUUUGUGUAACUGCAACCACAUCAACUGGAUCGGCAUGCACCGUAAUUACCGCUUGUGAAGGAGACACUAUGCCACAGUCCCGUGCAACACUCGUGGCAGUUAAAAUAUUGUCUCCAGUCACCAUUAUCGUCCUUAUCUUGGCUGCGUUUAGUGCAUGGAUUACUGUUGUAGUAUCGGGCUUGAGUCGGUUCUCUAAGAUAACAAAGCCAAGGAACUCCAGAUUAAGUUCAACUUCCUCGCGGGAAAAUCGCUGAACUUUUGUAUAAUUAAUCUUGGGUGCGAGAGAUUUGAAUGCCAAGGCUAUAAUUCGGUAUCCCUUUUUGGCGAAAGUCGACAACUGUUGAGAAUAGUUAUCUGGUAGGCUCUGAGGUCUGCACAGCUGUUGUAACAUUUCCGGAGAGCCUUUACAGUAUACAUUAAAUCCUUGUGCGCUGAGACAACGAGUGAUGACCGACAUUCUCUGAAGACUUGAGGUAAAUGGGAAUUCUCGUACAAUCCCAUGAUCAAAGCUUUUCUGGGUUUGCGAAAGGCCAACAUUAGCCAAUAAAUCAUCCACUGAUGACUGUCGUCGAAUCCCUGUUUUAGUAUGUGACGAAGUAUUAGAAGAGUCUUUUGGUUGGCGCAGAAUGGUUGGAUAAAUAAGCCCAUAUUUCUCAUUAUCCGGUAUAUCUGAAGAAUCCUCAAGUAUCCACCCCGUUGACUGGAACAUUUUAAGAUCCAGUGGGUCACCCAUCAUCGUACCAUUCAGUACAGUAAUCGAGUGACACGUUACCAUGCCAAAAAGAAAGUGAUCAUAUGGCAGACGAUUCACGUUCUUAAAGGGUAUUUGAAAUUGGUUAGUGGACGACUUAGGGACCACCCCCCACAUAUCCAGCCCAUCCUCCGUUAAGGUACCAGUCUGAAAUUAGUAAACGAAAAAUAAGAACAGGAAAUAAUUUUAUUAUUUAUGUGAGACAGCCCCUACGGAGUGUCAUUGGAAAUGUCACCCAUAUUCAGGACAUGAUUUAUAAUGUAUGGCACGGUAAUUGUAGAUAUAAGAUAUGAACAAGCAAAUGUUUUAUUAAAUGUCAAACCUUAUCAAAGCAACAGCAAUUAAUGCUUCCUGCCACGUUAAUAGACCGUGGAGAGAUACAAAAGAUGUCGUUAGCCUUUAAACGCUUCUGUGCAUAAAAGCGACCGACUGUCAUUGCAGCUGGGAGGGCGGGAGGUACAACAAUAGUAAUUAGGUCCAGAGAUUCAACUGCUAUUUUUACCGGAUCCGUUCCCCGCAUUAUCUGAAAGUAUUAUAUUGAAAUAAUACAAUUAUACAAGAAUAAUUAUAUACUUUAAAUAUGUUUAUACUAUCCGUACCUUUGUUAUUAGUGUGUAAAUAAAUCCAACACAAGCAAUUAAUGCCAAGAACUGAAUAAAUUUAUAUGAAUCUUGUUCAAACUUAUAGUCCACAGGUGGAGGAUAAAGAAUGGAUCGAAUUAGUUCUCCUUUUGCCGUUAUGUUACCGGUGUUAAUUACGAAUGCCAAUACUUUUUUAGAUCCAAUAUACCUCGUCUGAAUAACCUUUGUUCCACAAAAGAGUAUGUGUCUGGCAUGUUCUUUCUUGUCAAAAAUCAUAUCACGUUUCGGAGGCAACGGAGUUUUUGUUACCGGAACACUUUCGCCCGUAAGCAUCGAUUCAUCCAGAAUACAGUUGCCUGAUAAUAAUACUGCAUCACACUGCAUUGUACAUCCUGAUGAAGGUAUUUCAAUUAUAUCCCCCGGUACAAGAGUUUGGGUUGGAAACUCUUUGGAAACACCCUUUGAGUCCAAAACCAAAGCAUUCCCAGUAUUGUGCACUGUUUUUUGAAGUACAUCUUGAUUCUAGAAGACAGAAAUCAGAGAAAUUGAAUAGUUGUCGGAAUUAAAUAAGAAAAGUAGCAAGUCCUACAGAUAGCCUGUGCUAUGGAUAUCUAUCGACACGGAUUUUCUGUCUUGCCAUUAAGAUCUCGAAUAUAUGUUGGUACCAUAGUAUGAUAUAAAAUUAAAUUCGAAUAUAAAUAAAUAAAUUAUGUAUUUUUGUAUUUUUCGUUUCA